GGGUGAGUAAUACAUCGGAACAUGUCCUGUAGUGGGGGAUAGCCCGGCGAAAGCCGGAUUAAUACCGCAUACGAUCUACGGAUGAAAGCGGGGGACCUUCGGGCCUCGCGCUAUAGGGUUGGCCGAUGGCUGAUUAGCUAGUUGGUGGGGUAAAGGCCUACCAAGGCGACGAUCAGUAGCUGGUCUGAGAGGACGACCAGCCACACUGGGACUGAGACACGGCCCAGACUCCUACGGGAGGCAGCAGUGGGGAGUUUUGGACAAUGGGCGAAAGCCUGAUCCAGCAAUGCCGCGUGUGUGAAGAAGGCCUUCGGGUUGUAAAGCACUUUUGUCCGGAAAGAAAUCCUUGGUUCUAAUAUAGCCGGGGGAUGACGGUACCGGAAGAAUAAGCACCGGCUAACUACGUGCCAGCAGCCGCGGUAAUACGUAGGGUGCGAGCGUUAAUCGGAAUUACUGGGCGUAAAGCGUGCGCAGGCGGUUUGCUAAGACCGAUGUGAAAUCCCCGGGCUCAACCUGGGAACUGCAUUGGUGACUGGCAGGCUAGAGUAUGGCAGAGGGGGGUAGAAUUCCACGUGUAGCAGUGAAAUGCGUAGAGAUGUGGAGGAAUACCGAUGGCGAAGGCAGCCCCCUGGGCCAAUACUGACGCUCAUGCACGAAAGCGUGGGGAGCAAACAGGAUUAGAUANCCUGGUAGUCCACGCCCUAAACGAUGUCAACUAGUUGUUGGGGAUUCAUUUCCUUAGUAACGUAGCUAACGCGUGAAGUUGACCGCCUG
RNAcentral lists this ribosomal RNA (774 nucleotides) under uncultured Burkholderia sp. Its description in RNAcentral is "bacterial SSU rRNA". It matches the Rfam family "Bacterial small subunit ribosomal RNA", at positions 104 to 875 of the family's 1533-position model. Lineage: Bacteria; Pseudomonadati; Pseudomonadota; Betaproteobacteria; Burkholderiales; Burkholderiaceae. The record is from RNAcentral.